Drosophila innubila is the source of this 371-nucleotide long non-coding RNA. RefSeq lists it as uncharacterized. NCBI's taxonomy places the organism in Eukaryota, Metazoa, Arthropoda, Insecta, Diptera, Drosophilidae. The record is from RefSeq and is a predicted model, not a curated record. The transcript has 2 exons.
CGAAAAAAUUUGACUGAAAUCGGACUACUAAAUCAUAUAGCUAUCAUAGGAACGAUUGUUUGAAUAUCAACCUAUAACUCCCCUCUGAUUCAUGUGCAGAGCGCAUCAAGUUACCCUGGUUUCCAUCUAGACGAAACAUUGAGUCAGCCAAAACGAAGCUUGACACGUGUUGCAAAUGCCGGGCGAGUGCAUAUUCUCACUUCAGUGGCAACUGCUGAGGCUCCAAGUCACAGUGGACACAAGCUACAAUGAACCUAUGUACAAACAAAACAUGCCUAGCUUGGGCAAAUAUUGAAAUUGAUAAGAACUGUGUAGAGUAAGAGAAAGUUAAAAAAUGUAUGCUACAGUAAACACUCAUAAAUUCAUGUUUA